AACCAACGCUGGCGGCGUGCCUAAUACAUGCAAGUCGAACGGGGAAAGCUUUCGGGUGAGUACUAGUGGCGCACGGGUGAGGAACGCGUGGAUAAUCUGCCUUAGAGUGGGGGAUAACUAGUCGAAAGAUUAGCUAAUACUGCAUAAGACCACGAGAGCUGCGGCUUUUGAGGUCAAAGGUUUUUCGCUCUAAGAUGAGUCCGCGUAAGAUUAGCUAGUUGGUGAGGUAACGGCUCACCAAGGCGACGAUCUUUAACUGGUCUGAGAGGAUGAUCAGUCACACUGGAACUGAGACACGGUCCAGACUCCUACGGGAGGCAGCAGUAGGGAAUAUUGCACAAUGGAGGAAACUCUGAUGCAGCGACGCAGCGUGAGUGAUGAAGGCCUUCGGGUCGUAAAGCUCUGUCGCAGGGGAAUAACACAAUGAAGGUACCCUGUAAGAAAGGAUCGGCUAACUUCGUG
This 462-nucleotide ribosomal RNA is filed under the name uncultured bacterium. RNAcentral describes it as "partial 16S ribosomal RNA". It matches the Rfam family "Bacterial small subunit ribosomal RNA", at positions 32 to 507 of the family's 1533-position model. The record is from RNAcentral.